GAUGAAGAACGUAGCGAACUGCGAUAAGUAAUGUGAAUUGCAGAAUUCAGUGAAUCAUCGAGUCUUUGAACGCACAUUGCGCCCCCUGGCAUUCCGGGGGGCAUGCCUGUCCGAGCGUCAUUGCUGCCCUUCAAGCCCGGCUUGUGUGUUGGGUCGUCGUCCCCCCCGGGGGACGGGCCCGAAAGGCAGCGGCGGCACCGCGUCCGGUCCUCGAGCGUAUGGGGCUUUGUCACCCGCUCGAUUAGGGCCGGCCGGGCGCCAGCCGGCGUCUCCAACCUUCUAUUUUACCAGGUUGACCUCGGAUCAGGUAGGGAUACCCGCUGAACUUAAGCCUAUCAAUAAGCGGAGGA
RNAcentral lists this unclassified non-coding RNA (350 nucleotides) under soil metagenome. RNAcentral's name for it is "partial contains 5.8S ribosomal RNA, internal transcribed spacer 2, and large subunit ribosomal RNA". The stretch from base 1 to 120 matches the Rfam family "5.8S ribosomal RNA", at positions 35 to 154 of the family's 154-position model. The record is from RNAcentral.